UGGUCAAGUUAUUAAGGGUGCAGGGCGGAUGCCUUGGCACUAGGAGCCGAUGAAGGACGUGAUAAGCUGCGAUAAGCUUCGGGGAGUUGCACGUAAACUUUGAUCCGAAGAUUUCCGAAUGAGGAAACUCACUUAGAGUAAUGUCUAAGUAUCAUUAAGUGAAUACAUAGCUUAAUGAGGGGAACUCAGGGAACUGAAACAUCUAAGUACCUGAAGGAAGAGAAAGAAAUUCGAUUCCGUAAGUAGCGGCGAGCGAACGCGGAUUAGCCCAAACCAAUAAAGUUUUCUUUAUUGGGGUUGCGGACAUAUCAUAACGAAGAGGUAUCGUAAUUGAAGAGGUUUGGAAAGACCCACCACAGAAGGUAAUAGUCCUGUAUGUUAAACGAGAAGACUUCAGAUAUGAUCCAGAGUACCACGGGACACGUGAAACCCUGUGGGAAGCAGGAGGGACCACCCUCCAAGGCUAAAUACUACCUAGUGACCGAUAGCGUAUAGUACCGUGAGGGAAAGGUGAAAAGAACCCCGGGAGGGGAGUGAAAUAGAACCUGAAACCCUGCACUUACAAGCUGUGGAAGCACAUUUCUUGUGUGACCGCGUACUUUUUGUAGAACGGGCCAACGAGUUACGUUAAGUAGCAAGGUUAAGCACUUAAGGUGCGGAGCCGUAGCGAAAGCGAGUUUUAACUGAGCGUUCAGUUACUUGACGUAGACCCGAAACCGGGCGACCUACCCAUGAGCAGGAUGAAGCGAAAGUAAAAUUUCGUGGAGGUCCGAACCCACGAGCGUUGAAAAGCUCGGGGAUGACUUGUGGGUAGCGGUGAAAUUCCAAUCGAGCCCGGAGAUAGCUGGUUCUCCCCGAAAUAGCUUUAGGGCUAGCCUCAAGGUGAGAGAUACGGAGGUAGAGCACUGAAUGUCCUAGGGGGUAUUGCACCUACCGAAGACUAUCAAACUCCGAAUGCCGUCAUCUUAUACUUGGGAGUCAGACUGUGGGUGAUAAGAUUCAUAGUCAAAAGGGCAACAGCCCAGAUCGUCAGCUAAGGUCCCUAAAUGUAAGUUAAGUGGUAAAGGAUGUGGGAUUGCACAGACAACCAGGAUGUUGGCUUAGAAGCAGCCACUCAUUCAAAGAGUGCGUAAUAGCUCACUGGUCGAGUGAUCCUGCGCCGAAGAUUUCCGGGGCUAAAACUUACUACCGAAGCUACGGCAUCAUUAUGAUGGGUAGGGGAGCUUCCCAUACGGGUUGAAGCAUGACCGUAAGGACAUGUGGACAGUAUGGGAGUGAGAAUGUUGGCAUGAGUAGCGAGAUGUGGGUGAGAAUCCCACAGGCCGUAAACCCAAGGUUUCCAGGGGAAGGUUCGUCCGCCCUGGGUUAGUCGGGACCUAAGCUGAGGCCGAAAGGCGUAGGUGAUGGACAACAGGUUGAUAUUCCUGUACUACCGAUAACCGUUUGAGAGAAGGGAUGACACAGUAGGAUAAGCUAAGCACACUGUUGGUUAUGUGUGCCCAAGCAUUGAGGCAGUCAAAGUAGGCAAAUCCGCUUUGAUAAUGCUGGGAUGUGAUGGGGAGCGAAAUUUAGUAGCGAAGUAGCUGAUUUCACACUGUCAAGAAAAGUCUCUAUCGAGGUUAAAGGUACCCGUACCGCAAACCGACACAGGUGGGUGAGGAGAGUAUCCUAAGGCCAGCGAGAGAACUGUUGUUAAGGAACUCGGCAAAAUGACCCCGUAACUUAGGGAUAAGGGGUGCCACCAUCCGGUGGCCGCAGAGAAUAGGCCCAAGCGACUGUUUACCAAAAACAUAGGUUUCUGCUAAGUCGCAAGACGAUGUAUAGGAGCUGACGCCUGCCCGGUGCUGGAAGGUUAAGGGGAUCUGUUAGAGCAAUCGAAGCAGUGAACUUAAGCCCCAGUAAACGGCGGCCGUAACUAUAACGGUCCUAAGGUAGCGAAAUUCCUUGUCGGGUAAGUUCCGACCCGCACGAAAGGCGUAACGAUUUGGGCACUGUCUCAACAACAGACUCGGUGAAAUUGUAAUUCCGGUGAAGAUGCCGGAUACCUGCGACAGGACGGAAAGACCCCAUGGAGCUUUACUGUAGCUUGACAUUGGGUCUUGGUACUACAUGUACAGGAUAGGUGGGAGGCUUUGAAACCAGGACGCCAGUUUUGGCGGAGCCAUCCUUGGGAUACCACCCUUGUAGUACUGGGACUCUAACCAUAGGCCAUGAAUCUGGUCUUGGGACACUGUCAGGUGGGCAGUUUGACUGGGGCGGUCGCCUCCCAAAAGGUAACGGAGGCGCUCAAAGGUUCUCUCAGUACGGUCGGAAAUCGUACGUAGAGUGUAAAGGCAAAAGAGAGCUUGAUUGCAAGACAUACAGGUCGAGCAAGGAUGAAAAUCGGACUUAGUGAUCCGGUGGUUCUGCGUGGAAGGGCCAUCGCUCAACGGAUAAAAGCUACCCUGGGGAUAACAGGCUUAUCUCCCCCAAGAGUCCACAUCGACGGGGAGGUUUGGCACCUCGAUGUCGGCUCAUCACAUCCUGGGGCUGUAGUAGGUCCCAAGGGUUGGGCUGUUCGCCCAUUAAAGUGGUACGCGAGCUGGGUUCAGAACGUCGUGAGACAGUUCGGUCCCUAUCCGUCGCAGGCGUAGGAAAUUUGAGAAGACCUGUCCUUAGUACGAGAGGACCGGGAUGGACGUACCUCUGGUGUACCAGUUGUUCUGCCAAGGGCAUGGCUGGGUAGCUAUGUACGGAAUGGAUAAGCGCUGAAAGCAUCUAAGCGCGAAGCCAACUUCAAGAUAAGAUUUCCCACCGCAAGGGUAAGACCCCAGAAAGACUAUCUGGUUGAUAGGUCGAAGGUGUAAGUGCAGCAAUGUAUUUAGCUUAUCGAUACUAAUAGGUCGAGGACUUGACCAAU
Molecule: ribosomal RNA, 2899 nt
Filed under: Clostridioides difficile
Lineage: Bacteria; Bacillati; Bacillota; Clostridia; Peptostreptococcales; Peptostreptococcaceae
Description: bacterial LSU rRNA
Rfam family: Bacterial large subunit ribosomal RNA
Source: RNAcentral